GACGAACGCUGGCGGCGUGCUUAACACAUGCAAGUCGAACGGAAAGGCCCUGCUUUUGUGGGGUGCUCGAGUGGCGAACGGGUGAGUAACACGUGAGUAACCUGCCCUUGACUUUGGGAUAACUUCAGGAAACUGGGGCUAAUACCGGAUAUGAUCUCCUGCUGCAUGGUGGUGGUUGGAAAGUUUCGGCGGUUGGGGAUGGACUCGCGGCUUAUCAGCUUGUUGGUGGGGUAGUGGCUUACCAAGGCUUUGACGGGUAGCCGGCCUGAGAGGGUGAACGGCCACAUUGGGACUGAGAUACGGCCCAGACUCCUACGGGAGGCAGCAGGGGGGAAUAUUGCACAAUGGGCGGAAGCCUGAUGCAGAAACGCCGCGUGCGGGAUGACGGCCUUCGGGUUGUAAACCGAUUUCGCAGGUGACGAAGCGUGAGUGACGGUAAUGGGUAAAGAAGCACCGGCUAACUACGUG
RNAcentral lists this ribosomal RNA (468 nucleotides) under uncultured bacterium. Its description in RNAcentral is "partial 16S ribosomal RNA". It matches the Rfam family "Bacterial small subunit ribosomal RNA", at positions 28 to 507 of the family's 1533-position model. The record is from RNAcentral.